UAAUACGGAGGGGGUUAGCGUUGUUCGGAAUUACUGGGCGUAAAGCGCGCGUAGGCGGAUUGGAAAGUUGGGGGUGAAAUCCCGAGGCUCAACCUCGGAACUGCCUCCAAAACUCCCAGUCUAGAGUUCGAGAGAGGCGAGUGGAAUUCCAAGUGUAGAGGUGAAAUUCGUAGAUAUUUGGAGGAACACCAGUGGCGAAGGCGGCUCACUGGCUCGAUACCGACGCUGAGGUGCGAAAGUGUGGGGAGCAAACAGGAUUAGACACCCUGGUAGUCCACACCGUAAACGAUGAAUGCCAGUCGUCGGGCAGUAUACUGUUCGGUGACACACCUAACGGAUUAAGCAUUCCGCCUGGGGAGUACGGUCGCAAGAUUA
This 375-nucleotide ribosomal RNA is filed under the name uncultured Paracoccaceae bacterium. Its description in RNAcentral is "bacterial SSU rRNA". It matches the Rfam family "Bacterial small subunit ribosomal RNA", at positions 521 to 896 of the family's 1533-position model. Lineage: Bacteria; Pseudomonadati; Pseudomonadota; Alphaproteobacteria; Rhodobacterales; Paracoccaceae. The record is from RNAcentral.